This 432-nucleotide ribosomal RNA is filed under the name uncultured bacterium. RNAcentral's name for it is "partial 16S ribosomal RNA". It matches the Rfam family "Bacterial small subunit ribosomal RNA", at positions 29 to 506 of the family's 1533-position model. The record is from RNAcentral.
AACGAACGCUGGCGGCAUGCCUAACACAUGCAAGUCGAACGAGACCUUCGGGUCUAGUGGCGCACGGGUGCGUAACGCGUGGGAACCUGCCCUUAGGUUCGGAAUAACUCCCCGAAAGGGGUGCUAAUACCGGAUAAUGUCUUCGGACCAAAGAUUUAUCGCCUUUGGAUGGGCCCGCGUUGGAUUAGCUAGUUGGUAGGGUAAAAGCCUACCAAGGCGACGAUCCAUAGCUGGUCUGAGAGGAUGAUCAGCCACACUGGGACUGAGACACGGCCCAGACUCCUACGGGAGGCAGCAGUGGGGAAUAUUGGACAAUGGGCGAAAGCCUGAUCCAGCAAUGCCGCGGGAGUGAUGAAGGCCUUAGGGUUGUAAAGCUCUUUUACCCGGGAUGAUAAGGACAGUACCGGGAGAAUAAGCUCCGGCUAACUCCGG